RNAcentral lists this long non-coding RNA (230 nucleotides) under Ananas comosus (pineapple). RNAcentral's name for it is "long non-coding RNA (ACOM_LNC029603)". The record is from RNAcentral. Lineage: Eukaryota; Viridiplantae; Streptophyta; Magnoliopsida; Poales; Bromeliaceae.
UGCGUGUUCGACGGGCUAUACCUAGCGAGCAGGCUUUUGAGUAACGUAGUCUGCUGACGGGUCCGAGGAUUGGUACUUGCAGCCAGGUCUCUGGUUAUGAAACGCCAUCUCCAUCCUCUUUCAUUCCAGCAUUGUGAGACAGUGGCUUCCUGAUUUGCGAUUCUGCAAAAUAUUCCAGGAAAUCUGGUACUAAAAGGGGUUUCUUCAAUCCAAAUGUCUGACCACCACCU